GAUGAAGAACGCAGCGAAAUGCGAUAAGUAAUGUGAAUUGCAGAAUUCAGUGAAUCAUCGAAUCUUUGAACGCACAUUGCGCCCGCCAGUAUUCUGGCGGGCAUGCCUGUUCGAGCGUCAUUUCAACCAUCAAGCCCCAGGCUUGUGUUGGGGACCUGCGGCUGCCGCAGGCCCUGAAAACCAGUGGCGGGCUCGCUGUCACACCGGGCGUAGUAGAUUUUAUCUCGCUCUGGGCGUGCUGCGGGUUCCGGCCGUUAAAAAACCCUUUUAACCCAAGGUUGACCUCGGAUCAGGUAGGAGUACCCGCUGAACUUAAGCAUAUCAAUAAGCGGAGGA
RNAcentral lists this unclassified non-coding RNA (336 nucleotides) under soil metagenome. RNAcentral describes it as "partial contains 5.8S ribosomal RNA, internal transcribed spacer 2, and large subunit ribosomal RNA". The stretch from base 1 to 120 matches the Rfam family "5.8S ribosomal RNA", at positions 35 to 154 of the family's 154-position model. The record is from RNAcentral.